GAUGAACGCUGGCGGCGUGCUUAACACAUGCAAGUCGAACGAUGAAGCCCAGCUUGCCGGGUGGAUUAGUGGCGAACGGGUGAGUAACACGUGAGUAACCUGCCCUUAACUCUGGGAUAAGCCUGGGAAACUGGGUCUAAUACCGGAUAGGAGCGUCCACCGCAUGGCGGGUGUUGGAAAGAUUUAUCGGUUUUGGAUGGACUCGCGGCCUAUCAGCUUGUUGGUGAGGUAAUGGCUCACCAAGGCGACGACGGGUAGCCGGCCUGAGAGGGUGACCGGCCACACUGGGACUGAGACACGGCCCAGACUCCUACGGGAGGCGGCAGUGGGGAAUAUUGCACAAUGGGCGCAAGCCUGAUGCAGCGACGCCGCGUGAGGGAUGACGGCCUUCGGGUUGUAAACCUCUUUCAGUAGGGAAGAAGCGAAAGUGACGGUACCUGCAGAAGAAGCACCGGCUAACUACGUG
RNAcentral lists this ribosomal RNA (466 nucleotides) under uncultured bacterium. RNAcentral describes it as "partial 16S ribosomal RNA". It matches the Rfam family "Bacterial small subunit ribosomal RNA", at positions 28 to 507 of the family's 1533-position model. The record is from RNAcentral.